RNAcentral lists this unclassified non-coding RNA (528 nucleotides) under Zea mays. Its description in RNAcentral is "misc RNA Zm00001eb235040". The record is from RNAcentral. Lineage: Eukaryota; Viridiplantae; Streptophyta; Magnoliopsida; Poales; Poaceae.
GAGACAACAAGGAAGAUGGGGCUCCGAGGGUCAGUGAAUUUGAUCCAUCAAGAAAGAAACAAAAGAAUGUACUGGGUUCCUUCGGUCCAAAUUCCUCUAGUGAUAGGCAGGACUCGGCCCCCAUGCAUGUUGAUUGCAGUGAGGUUCAUAGGCCAAUGUACACAACAGGGUCAGGAGUAUGUGUUGUAGCACCUACAGAGAAGAGUGUAAUCAAAUCGUCUUUACCACCUGGUUUCAAGACAGGCAAACCAAAUGGUUCAAUUAGUCUGAUGAAGCCUCUUUCUCCUUCGAAGGAAAGGACAACUGAUCACGCUAAGCAGGUUUCAGUGCAUGUUGUGCCUGGUUCCGCUUUGGUUGCAGGGACAGGUGCCGCAAUCCCAGCAGGUGAUCUUGCCUCGGAUAAUUGGGCACCGGUGGUCCCUCAGGCUGGGCCAUCUUUAACCUCCAUGGUCAAUGGGACUACGAUGCCUCUGCAGUUUGGAUCUCUGAACAUGGCCAACCAAACCUUGGCUGCUUGUUCACGGCCUG